UUUUUAUUUUCAAUCCAAAUUAGUUUGUAUAUUUUUUUGACAACGAAAAAAGUUCAGGUAGUUUUCUGGCAGAUUUUAAAUAGUUCGGGUUUUUUUGGGAAUAUUUCCU
This 109-nucleotide small RNA is filed under the name Arabidopsis thaliana (thale cress). RNAcentral describes it as "ATSL288060". The record is from RNAcentral. Lineage: Eukaryota; Viridiplantae; Streptophyta; Magnoliopsida; Brassicales; Brassicaceae.